AGUGAACGCUGGCGGUAGGCCUAACACAUGCAAGUCGAACGGCAGCACAGUAAGAGCUUGCUCUUACGGGUGGCGAGUGGCGGACGGGUGAGGAAUACAUCGGAAUCUACUUUUUCGUGGGGGAUAACGUAGGGAAACUUACGCUAAUACCGCAUACGACCUACGGGUGAAAGCAGGGGAUCUUCGGACCUUGCGCGAUUGAAUGAGCCGAUGUCGGAUUAGCUAGUUGGCGGGGUAGGGGCCCACCAAGGCGACGAUCCGUAGCUGGUCUGAGAGGAUGAUCAGCCACACUGGAACUGAGACACGGUCCAGACUCCUACGGGAGGCAGCAGUGGGGAAUAUUGGACAAUGGGCGCAAGCCUGAUCCAGCCAUACCGCGUGGGUGAAGAAGGCCUUCGGGUUGUAAAGCCCUUUUGUUGGGAAAGAAAAGCAGCAGGUUAAUACCCCGCUGUUCUGACGGUACCCAAAGAAUAAGCACCGGCUAACUUCGUG
RNAcentral lists this ribosomal RNA (492 nucleotides) under uncultured bacterium. Its description in RNAcentral is "partial 16S ribosomal RNA". It matches the Rfam family "Bacterial small subunit ribosomal RNA", at positions 29 to 507 of the family's 1533-position model. The record is from RNAcentral.